UACGGAGGGUGCAAGCGUUAGUCGGAAUUACUGGGCGUAAAGGGCGCGUAGGCGGAAAUAUAAGUCAGACGUGAAAUUCCGGGGCUUAACCUCGGAGCUGCAUCUGAAACUAUAUUUCUAGAGGAAGGGCGGAGAAAACGGAAUUCCACAUGUAGCGGUGAAAUGCGUAGAUAUCAGGAGGAACACCGGUGGCGAAGGCGGAUCUCUGGGCCAUUACUGACGCUGAGGAGCGAAAGCGUGGGGAGCGAACAGG
This 253-nucleotide ribosomal RNA is filed under the name uncultured bacterium. RNAcentral describes it as "partial 16S ribosomal RNA". It matches the Rfam family "Bacterial small subunit ribosomal RNA", at positions 524 to 776 of the family's 1533-position model. The record is from RNAcentral.